This 341-nucleotide ribosomal RNA is filed under the name uncultured Pseudomonadota bacterium. RNAcentral describes it as "bacterial SSU rRNA". It matches the Rfam family "Bacterial small subunit ribosomal RNA", at positions 29 to 351 of the family's 1533-position model. Lineage: Bacteria; Pseudomonadati; Pseudomonadota. The record is from RNAcentral.
AACUAACGCUGGCGGCGUGCCUAACACAUGCAAGUCGGACGAGAAAUCCUGGGCAACUGGGAGAGUAAAGUGGCGCACGGGUGAGUAACGCGUGGGUAACCUGCCCUUGAAUUGGGGAUAACUUCGCGAAAGCGGGGCUAAUACCGAAUAAUAUGUCGAGUCCCACGGGAAUUGACAUCAAAGGUGGUCUCUGCUUGCAAGCUACCGUUCAAGGAUGGGCCCGCGUACCAUUAGCUAGUUGGUAGGGUAAUGGCCUACCAAGGCAACGAUGGUUAGCUGGUCUGAGAGGAUGACCAGCCACACUGGAACUGAGACACGGUCCAGACUCCUACGGGAGGCAG